This 774-nucleotide ribosomal RNA is filed under the name uncultured bacterium. Its description in RNAcentral is "bacterial SSU rRNA". It matches the Rfam family "Bacterial small subunit ribosomal RNA", at positions 55 to 853 of the family's 1533-position model. The record is from RNAcentral.
AUGCAGUCGAACGAUUCCGAUUUAUCGGAAUAGUGGCGAACGGGUGAGUAACACGUAAGUAACCUGCCCCUAAGUAGGGGAUAACUCUGAGAAAUUGGAGCUAAUACUGUAUGUGGUGGUGGGGGUAAGGCUCCAUCACUAAAGCCUACGGGUGCUUGGGGAGGGGCUUGCGUCCGAUUAGCUAGUUGGUAAGGUAAUGGCCUACCAAGGCAACGAUCGGUAGCUGGUUUAAGAGGACGGUCAGCCACACUGGGACUGAGACACGGCCCAGACUCCUACGGGAGGCAGCAGCAAGGAAUAUUGUGCAAUGGGCGAAAGCCUGACACAGCGACACCGCGUGGGGGAUGAAGGCCUUCGGGUCGUAAACCCCUUUUCCCAGAGAAGAAAAAUGACGGUACCUGGGGAAUAAGUCUUGGCUAACUACGUGCCAGCAGCCGCGGUAAGACGUAGAAGGCAAGCGUUAUCCGGAUUUAUUGGGCGUAAAGAGGGUGUAGGCGGCUCUUCAAGUCGGAUGUAAAAUCUCCCGGCUUAACCGGGAGGGAUCAUUCGAUACUGUUGGGCUAGAGUGCAGCAGGGGGAGACGGAAUUCCCGGUGGAGUGGUGAAAUGCGUAGAUAUCGGGAGGAACACCAGUGGCGAAGGCGGUCUUCUGGGCUGUUACUGACGCUGAGACCCGAAGGCGUGGGGAGCGAACAGGAUUAGAUACCCUGGUAGUCCACGCAGUAAACGAUGGACACUAGGUAUAGGGAGUAUCGACCCUCUCUGUGCCGAAGUU